AAAAACUAUGAAAAGGAAAUAGAAAAUGUUUUCCAUAACUAAACAAGGCCAUAAUCUCCUUCAUUUUCCUUUCACAGCCGCCGCCCUCUUCUCUUAUUCUCUUGCUUGUGUUUUCUGCUUCUCACGCCCAAACCAUUGGCCACCGUUGUUGGCUGCUAAAAACCUCUGAUCUUCCAAGGGCUCUAUGGUGACGACUACUGAAGAUUUGAUUCUCCCUUCUCUCUUUUUAAAACUAUUUUGCUUUCCUUUUUUCUUUAAUUUUCAUUUUUUAUUUCCUUUUCCUUCUCACUUCUACUAUUAAAGCCACUGCUCAGGGUUAAAGCAUUCUCCUCAACCUUCCAAGG
This 344-nucleotide unclassified non-coding RNA is filed under the name Hevea brasiliensis (rubber tree). Lineage: Eukaryota; Viridiplantae; Streptophyta; Magnoliopsida; Malpighiales; Euphorbiaceae. The record is from RNAcentral.